GGCGGUCGCGGGCUGCCGGCGGUCCCCUCCCCUACCGCCCCGCCCAGCUCCGGGGGUGUGUCCCAGCCCGCCCGGGGCCUCGCGCUCUGCAGGCUGGCAGGACGACUGGACUCCGUUACCUUUUGAAGAGAUUGUGAAGAAUGAAGAAAUGUUAUUGCACUACCCAUACACCUGCCGUUCCCACUCCUCUUCUUCCGCUGAAGUAGCAUCAGCUUUCCAUCCGGAACUUCCUUAACGUUUCUCAAUUAGAUUGUGAUUCUGGAACUGUGGAGAGUGCACCCAGAGGUGAUGUGCCUUUCUCAGUGCUCCAUAGGAGGCGUUCCAUGCUGUCAGGAGGACUUGAUAUGGAUGAUAAAAGGUUAGCAGAUCCAGUCAGGAAGUGUUCUUGAUUCUUCUGGAACAAGAUCUACUUUUCCGUCAUGAUAUUGGAAACAAAGCGUGUCCAGUUCUGCUGGAGCUGUCUGCCCCAGACAGUGUUGAUGAGGAGAGCAGAAGCUGUGAGCUGAACCUGACAAGUAGUGACUGCAAGAACCCGUUGGGCCUGUCCUGUAUGCUGGCGUGUGCAGGACUCGAAGGGACAUAUGUGUUCAUUCUGGCCAGCACCAUUCCUGUAGCCAAGGUGGCCAGUGACUCAGCCUCAGUCACAGGAAGCUCAUGGGUCAACCCUGAGCCUGCUGCAGAGGCAGUGGUCCUUUGAGCACUCCUCAUUUAAGAAGGCAAGGCUCUGGAAAUGGAAAUGAUGUGGUGGCCGAGGCAUGGGCCUAGCACCUCUGCUGGGUGAAAUGCUCAAGUGCACAGACAGAGCCUUUGACCUGCCUGGAUCCUGGGGCUUGUUUCUGCAAGGCAGGAACAUCAUGUGCUCGAGUUCAGGUGUCGUCAGCUGCACUGAGAGCCACGCAGUAUGACUCUGCAGAUGACCCCAGCAUAGGCCAACAGAAGGUCGAAGAGAAGGUCCACUGCAGAUCCCAGCUCUGCCUCUGACAGUCACAUCCCCCUGCCAGCUUCAUCAUCUCGGAAUGAGCUCUCUGUGGCCAGGAUAUUACAAAGCACAGGUAUUUUAGAAAUGCAAGUAACCCUCAUCUUGAAGUUGCUGGAGAGACCAUCUUGGCUUUGCAAUCUGACCAGGACCAAGAUGUUUCCUUUUUGCCACCCUAGAACCAAGCGACAGAGUCUUCUGGACCCUACUGCACUAGGAAAACAGGAUGGACUCCUCUGGGAAGGUUGUUUCAUGCCUGGCACCUUUGGCUUGUGACCUGAAGGGGAACUGAUUGUAUUUUAUCUGCUGAAGAAGAAAAGAUUUCUGAAACUUCCACAUUGUGCACCCAAAUGACAGACCCCUUUCCUGUCUGAGGCUCCCAGACUGAAUCUUGGUGGGGACUUAAGUGCAGAUGGCUAGGCCUGUGCCACAUUCCCCAGCCCCACAGGCCUGACCCAGGACACCUUGUGGACAGGGUGCAGGCCUGCCAGCAACUUGUUUUGUUCAAGACAGACUAUAUUCGAGUCUCCCCUCCCGAUCGCUUAUUAGAAGCUCUGAAAUCUUUACUGGACUUGCAUAUUUGUUUCCCUUUUGCUUUUAUAUAAAAUAUAGUUUAUGGUGCUAUAUUUAUUUUUAACUGAGAUACUGUACAUAUGUAAAUAUCUUUUUUUAUUUUUAGAUAAGAUCUCACUAAGUUGCUCAAGCUGGCCUUGAACUUGGGAUCCAUCUGCCUCAGCCUCCCAAGCAGCUGGGAUUACAGGCGUGCACCGCCAUGCCCAGCUUGUAAAUAGCUCUUGACAGGAAGAAAAUAUAUGAAUGUAAUAUUAGCUUCCUAUCAGUGAACUGAACAAAUAUAUCAUUGAAAUUUAUGCUGCAAUCCGAGUUGCUGCAAACAUAGCCCAGUUUGUUUACUUUUGAAAAAUGUGACAAAGCUACUAAGAAUGAUUUAUGGCAGGCUUUCUACUACUGUGGUUGGGACUUCUUAAGCACUCACCCUCUGCUUCUUUCCGGAACUCUCCUCACAAAGAUGGCGUUGGUGUAAAGCUGAAGGAUUUUUCAUUUUCGUACAGAUAUAUUGUCGAUGUUUAAGAACUUGAGAGGGAAGUAGAUAACUGAGAUGCAUGGAUAUCAACUUUCAUGCUUUAGAAUACUAAAAGAUAGGAAACCAUAGUUCUGAUCAGAACUUGCCCACAAAUACCAGUGAUUCUGGGGGGUUAAAUCAUGUACUCUUCAAAUUGAUGUAAGUACACCGAACUUAGAUUUCAUGCUUUUAAAAUUUAGACUCAAAUGCUUUAGAAUUUAACAGUUUUUUCAUUAGUUAAUAAUUCAAGAUUCUGUAAACAUUUGAUUAAAUUCUGCAUUCAUA
This is a long non-coding RNA of Marmota monax (woodchuck), 2342 nucleotides long. RefSeq lists it as uncharacterized. NCBI's taxonomy places the organism in Eukaryota, Metazoa, Chordata, Mammalia, Rodentia, Sciuridae. The transcript has 6 exons. The record is from RefSeq and is a predicted model, not a curated record.